CCUACGGGGGGCAGCAGUGGGGAAUAUUGGACAAUGGGGGCAACCCUGAUCCAGCCAUGCCGCGUGUGUGAAGAAGGCCCUCGGGUUGUAAAGCACUUUCAGUGAGGAAGAACGCCUGGUGGUUAAUACCCAUCAGGAAAGACAUCACUCACAGAAGAAGCACCGGCUAACUCCGUGCCAGCAGCCGCGGUAAUACGGAGGGUGCGAGCGUUAAUCGGAAUUACUGGGCGUAAAGCGCGUGUAGGUGGCUUGAUAAGCCGGUUGUGAAAGCCCCGGGCUCAACCUGGGAACGGCAUCCGGAACUGUCAAGCUAGAGUGCAGGAGAGGAAGGUAGAAUUCCCGGUGUAGCGGUGAAAUGCGUAGAGAUCGGGAGGAAUACCAGUGGCGAAGGCGGCCUUCUGGACUGACACUGACACUGAGGUGCGAAAGCGUGGGUAGCAAACAGGAUUAGAUACCCCGGUAGUC
This 465-nucleotide ribosomal RNA is filed under the name Vreelandella stevensii. RNAcentral describes it as "partial 16S ribosomal RNA". It matches the Rfam family "Bacterial small subunit ribosomal RNA", at positions 338 to 795 of the family's 1533-position model. The record is from RNAcentral. Lineage: Bacteria; Pseudomonadati; Pseudomonadota; Gammaproteobacteria; Oceanospirillales; Halomonadaceae.